AACGCUAGCUACAGGCUUAACACAUGCAAGUCGAGGGGAAACGAUAGAGAAAGCUUGCUUUUUCUAGGCGUCGACCGGCGCACGGGUGAGUAACGCGUAUCCAACCUGCCCACCACUUGGGGAUAACCUUGCGAAAGUAAGACUAAUACCCAAUGAUAUCUCUAGAAGACAUCUGAAAGAGAUUAAAGAUUUAUCGGUGAUGGAUGGGGAUGCGUCUGAUUAGCUUGUUGGCGGGGUAACGGCCCACCAAGGCGACGAUCAGUAGGGGUUCUGAGAGGAAGGUCCCCCACAUUGGAACUGAGACACGGUCCAAACUCCUACGGGAGGCAGCAGUGAGGAAUAUUGGUCAAUGGGCGAGAGUCUGAACCAGCCAAGUAGCGUGAAGGAUGACUGCCCUAUGGGUUGUAAACUUCUUUUAUACGGGAAUAAAGUGAGGCACGUGUGCCUUUUUGUAUGUACCGUAUGAAUAAGGAUCGGCUAACUCCGUGCCAGCAGCCGCGGUAAUACGGAGGAUCCGAGCGUUAUCCGGAUUUAUUGGGUUUAAAGGGAGCGUAGGCGGACGCUUAAGUCAGUUGUGAAAGUUUGCGGCUCAACCGUAAAAUUGCAGUUGAUACUGGGUGUCUUGAGUACAGUAGAGGCAGGCGGAAUUCGUGGUGUAGCGGUGAAAUGCUUAGAUAUCACGAAGAACUCCGAUUG
RNAcentral lists this ribosomal RNA (696 nucleotides) under uncultured bacterium. RNAcentral describes it as "bacterial SSU rRNA". It matches the Rfam family "Bacterial small subunit ribosomal RNA", at positions 32 to 715 of the family's 1533-position model. The record is from RNAcentral.